GUGGGAAGAGUUGGUGAAGAAGAACCCAGAAGUGCACCAUCUUGCCUCCGUUCGUCCAAACAGAUGGGAAACGUUUCCCCGCAAGGCAAAAACGCCCCUCAGAUGUAUUCUGGAGAAUUAGGAUCAAUUUGACCCUCAGAUGCUAAGAAAGAAACGACAUAUUCUUCUGCAGUACUGCCUGGCCACCAUAUCCUCUUCAAGGGGGAGAGUCUUGGCCUCCUGAGGGAAGUAUAAAUUAUAACACCAUCUUACAGCUAGACCUCUUUUGUAGAAAAGAAGGCAAAUGGAGUGAAAUGCCAUAUGUACAAACUUUCUUUUCAUUAAGAGACAACUCGCAAUUAUGUAAAAAGUGUGAUUUAUGCCCUAUAGGAAGCCCUCAGAGUCUACUACCUCAGCAUCCCCUGACUGCUUCCCCAACUAGUAAGGACCCCCCUCCAACCCAAACGGUCCAAAAGGAGAUAGACAAAGGGGUAGACAAUGAACCAGCGAGUGCCAGUAUUCCCCGAUGAUGCCCUUUCCAAGCAGUGGGAGGAGGAGAAUUCGCCUCAGCCAGAGGACAUGUACCUUUUUCUCUCUCAGACUUAAAGCAAAUUAAAGUAGACCUAGCUAAAUUCUCAGAUAACCCUGAUGGCUAUAUUGAUGUUUUACAAGGGUUAGGACAAUCCUUUGAUCUGACCUGGAGAGAUAUAGUUACUGCUAAAUCAGACACUAACCCCAAAUGAGAGAAGCGCCGCCAUAACUGCAGCCCGAGAGUUUGGCGAUCUCUGGUAUCUCAGUCAGGUCAAUGAUAGGAUGACAACAGAGGAAAGAGAACGAUUCACCACAGGCCAGCAGGCAGUUCCCAGUGUAGACCCUCACUGGGACACAUAAUCAGAACAUGGAGAUUGGUGCCGCAGACAUGUGCUAACCUGCGUGCUAGAAGGACUAAGGAAAACUAGGAAGAAGCCUAUGAAUUAUUCAAUGAUGUCCACUAUAACCACAGGGAAGGGAAGAAAAUCCUACUGCCUUUCUGGAGAGACUAAGGGAGGCAUUGAGGAAGCAUACUCUCUGUCGCCUGACUCUAUUGAAGGCCAACUAAUCUUUUUUUUUUUUUUUUUUGAGACGGAGUCUCGCUCUGUCACCCAGGCUGGAGUGCUGUGGCCGGAUCUCAGCUCACUGCAAGCCUCGCCUCAGGCCCGGAGAAAAACUUAGAAAAAACCCUAUUGAACUUGGCAACCUCGGUUUUUUAUAAUAGAGAUUAGGAGAAGCAGGCGGAACAGGACAAACGAGAUUUAAAAAAGGCCACCGCUUUAGUCAUGGCCCUCAGGCAAGCGGACUUUGGAGGCUCUGGAAAAGGGAAAAGCUGGGCAAAUCGAAUGCCUACUAGGGCUUGCUUCUAGUGCGAUCUACAAGGACACUUGAAAAAAGAUUGUCCAAGUAGAAGUAAGCCGCCCCCUCAUCCAUGCCCCUUGUGUCAAGGGAAUCACUGCAGAGCCCACGGCCGCAGGGGAUCAAAGUCCUCUCAGUCAGAAGCCACUAACCAGAUGAUCCAGCAGCAGGACUGAGGGUGCCCGGGGCAAGCGUCAGCCCAUGCCAUCACCCGCACAGAGCCCCAGCUGUAGAACUACAAAUAGUUCUUCAAAUGGAGCCCCAGAUGCAGUCCAUGACUAAGAUCUACCGCGGACCCCUGGACCAGCCUGCUAGCCCAUGCUCCAAUGUUAAUGACAUCGAAGGCACUCCUCCUGAGGAAAUCUCAACCGCACAACCCCUGCUACACCCCAAUUCAGUAGGAAGCAGUUAGAACGGUCGUUGGCCAACCUCCCCAACAGCACUUGAGUUUUCCUAUCGAGAAGGGGGACUGAGAGACAGGACUAGCUGGAUUUCCUAGGCCAACUAAGAAUCCCUAAGCCUAGCUGGGAAGGUGACUGCAUCCACCAUUAAACACAGGGCUUGCAACUUAGCCCACACCCGACCAAUCA
Long non-coding RNA from Piliocolobus tephrosceles (Ugandan red Colobus), 1958 nucleotides. RefSeq lists it as uncharacterized. The transcript is spliced from 3 exons. The record is from RefSeq and is a predicted model, not a curated record. NCBI's taxonomy places the organism in Eukaryota, Metazoa, Chordata, Mammalia, Primates, Cercopithecidae.